RNAcentral lists this ribosomal RNA (441 nucleotides) under uncultured bacterium. RNAcentral's name for it is "partial 16S ribosomal RNA". It matches the Rfam family "Bacterial small subunit ribosomal RNA", at positions 338 to 795 of the family's 1533-position model. The record is from RNAcentral.
CCUACGGGCGGCAGCAGUGGGGGAUAUUGCACAAUGGGGGCAACCCUGAUGCAGCGACGCCGCGUGAGCGAUGGAGUACUUCGGUAUGUAAAGCUCUGUCAGCAGGGAAGAGAAUGACGGUACCUGACCAAGAAGCCCCGGCUAACUACGUGCCAGCAGCCGCGGUAAUACGUAGGGGGCAAGCGUUAUCCGGAUUUACUGGGUGUAAAGGGAGCGUAGGCGGCAGGGCAAGUCUGGGGUGAAAGCCCGGGGCUCAACCCCCGGACGGGAUUGGGAACUGGCCCGCUCGAGUGCCGGAGGGGCAGGCGGAAUUCCUAGGGUAGCGGGGAAAUGCGGAGAUAUUAGGAGGAACACCAGUGGCGAAGGCGGCCUGCUGGACGGUGUACUGACGCUGAGGCUCGAAAGCGUGGGGAGCAAACAGGAUUAGAUACCCCAGUAGUC